GGUUAAGCGACUAAGCGUACACGGUGGAUGCCCUGGCAGUCAGAGGCGAUGAAGGACGUGCUAAUCUGCGAUAAGCGUCGGUAAGGUGAUAUGAACCGUUAUAACCGGCGAUUUCCGAAUGGGGAAACCCAGUGUGUUUCGACACACUAUCAUUAACUGAAUCCAUAGGUUAAUGAGGCGAACCGGGGGAACUGAAACAUCUAAGUACCCCGAGGAAAAGAAAUCAACCGAGAUUCCCCCAGUAGCGGCGAGCGAACGGGGAGCAGCCCAGAGCCUGAAUCAGUGUGUGUGUUAGUGGAAGCGUCUGGAAAGGCGUGCGAUACAGGGUGACAGCCCCGUACACAAAAAUGCACAUAUUGUGAGCUCGAUGAGUAGGGCGGGACACGUGGUAUCCUGUCUGAAUAUGGGGGGACCAUCCUCCAAGGCUAAAUACUCCUGACUGACCGAUAGUGAACCAGUACCGUGAGGGAAAGGCGAAAAGAACCCCGGCGAGGGGAGUGAAAAAGAACCUGAAACCGUGUACGUACAAGCAGUGGGAGCACGCUUAGGCGUGUGACUGCGUACCUUUUGUAUAAUGGGUCAGCGACUUAUAUUCUGUAGCAAGGUUAACCGAAUAGGGGAGCCGAAGGGAAACCGAGUCUUAACUGGGCGUUAAGUUGCAGG
This 663-nucleotide ribosomal RNA is filed under the name Escherichia coli. RNAcentral describes it as "partial 23S ribosomal RNA". It matches the Rfam family "Bacterial large subunit ribosomal RNA", at positions 1 to 706 of the family's 2925-position model. Lineage: Bacteria; Pseudomonadati; Pseudomonadota; Gammaproteobacteria; Enterobacterales; Enterobacteriaceae. The record is from RNAcentral.